This 499-nucleotide ribosomal RNA is filed under the name uncultured bacterium. RNAcentral's name for it is "bacterial SSU rRNA". It matches the Rfam family "Bacterial small subunit ribosomal RNA", at positions 162 to 670 of the family's 1533-position model. The record is from RNAcentral.
GGUAAUACUCGAUAAUGUUUGCGGACCAAAGGUGAGAUUCCGCCCCUGGAUGAGCCCAUGCCCCAUUAGCUUGUUGGCGGUGUAAUAGACCACCAAGGCGAUGAUGGGUAGCUGGUGUGAGAGCACGACCAGCCUCACUGGCACUGAGACACUGGCCAGACACCUACGGGUGGCUGCAGUCGAGAAUCUUCGGCAAUGGACGAAAGUCUGACCGAGCGACGCCGCGUGCGGGACGAAGGCCUUCGGGUUGUAAACCGCUGUCGUAGAGGAUCAAAGGUAGUUGGGUUCUCCCUUUUAUUUGAGUGAUUCUAGGAGGAAGGAGAGGCUAAGCUCGUGCCAGCAACCGCGGUAAGACGAGCUCUCCAAACGUUAUUCGGUAUCACUGGGCUUAAAGAGUUCGUAGGCGGCUUUGUAGGUGGGGUGUGAAAGCCCUCGGCUUAACCGAGGAACUGCGCCCCAAACCACAAGGCUUGAGGGAUAUAGGGGUAAGCGGAACAGA